CAGAAAAUAGUUUAAAUAAAAACACUAUACUGAUAAUAUAACAAUGUAAAAAGACAAUACUUUUCUAA
RNAcentral lists this transfer RNA (68 nucleotides) under Caulophacus iocasicus. RNAcentral's name for it is "tRNA-Ile". Lineage: Eukaryota; Metazoa; Porifera; Hexactinellida; Lyssacinosida; Rossellidae. The record is from RNAcentral.